UCUUCCUCUUUUUCUUCUCUGCAAGCCCCGAGAGCGCCGCCGCAGCAAGCACCUUGUCCCCAUCGUCUCCGGCAACCCCGAGCCGUUCCGUGGGCACCGGCGGGUGCGCCUCGACCUCCUCUUGCUCCUGGCAGAAGGAAUUGAUCCCGGGUGCUCCCAGACGCCGCCACAUCGCGUUUCCCUUCUCCGACUCCGGCGUUCGUUUUCCUCGAUUCCGGCCACUGUGGACUCCCUCCGCCCGUUCUGAGUCCACGUCGAGCUUCAGGAACAUCGCCGCCGGCGACGCUCCGAUGAUCUCCGGGUGAUGGCGCCACCGCCAUCUGGUCCGCGCCGCCAAGGCACACCCGGCGCCCUAUUCCUCGCUUCCUGGGAGCCCCUACAACGCCGCUCGCAUCCAUGCCGACCCGCAGUGGUCACCGUCGCUCACCGCCGCGCGUGCACAUGGUUGCCACGUUGCCGCCAGCUCGGCAUCCUCGUCACCUUCUGGGCCCCAUCCGUCAGCGUCUGCGGCUAGCCCAGCCCCGAUUCCGCCCAGUCAGCAGCGCCGGACCCGCGCAACAGCCUCUGCAGCUAGCUCUCCUCUCGGAUCACGAAGUGGUGCUGUGAGAUACGGCAAGUUCUUCUGCAGCUUUUCACAGGC
Non-coding RNA from Lolium perenne, 640 nucleotides. The record is from RefSeq and is a predicted model, not a curated record. NCBI's taxonomy places the organism in Eukaryota, Viridiplantae, Streptophyta, Magnoliopsida, Poales, Poaceae.